UACGGGAGGCAGCAGUGGGGAAUCUUGCGCAAUGGGCGAAAGCCUGACGCAGCGACGCCGCGUGAGGGAAGAAGGCUUUCGGGUUGUAAACCUCUUUCAGGAGGGACGAAGCUACUCGGGUUAAUAGCCCAGAGGGUGACGGUACCUCCAGAAGAAGCCCCGGCUAACUACGUGCCAGCAGCCGCGGUAAUACGUAGGGGGCAAGCGUUGUCCGGAUUUAUUGGGCGUAAAGAGCGUGUAGGCGGCUAGACAGGUCCGUUGUGAAAACUCGAGGCUCAACCUCGAGACGCCGAUGGAAACCGUCUGGCUAGAGUCCGGAAGAGGAGAGUGGAAUUCCCGGUGUAGCGGUGAAAUGCGCAGAUAUCGGGAAGAACACCCGUGGCUAAGGCGGCUCUCUAGUACGGUACUGACGCUGAGACGCGAAAGCGUGGGGAGCGAACAGGAUUAGAUACCCUGGUAG
This 460-nucleotide ribosomal RNA is filed under the name uncultured Actinomycetes bacterium. RNAcentral describes it as "bacterial SSU rRNA". It matches the Rfam family "Bacterial small subunit ribosomal RNA", at positions 340 to 793 of the family's 1533-position model. Lineage: Bacteria; Bacillati; Actinomycetota; Actinomycetes. The record is from RNAcentral.